This 500-nucleotide ribosomal RNA is filed under the name uncultured bacterium. Its description in RNAcentral is "partial 16S ribosomal RNA". It matches the Rfam family "Bacterial small subunit ribosomal RNA", at positions 30 to 523 of the family's 1533-position model. The record is from RNAcentral.
AUUGAACGCUGGCGGCAUGCCUUACACAUGCAAGUCGAACGGCAGCACGGGAGCAAUCCUGGUGGCGAGUGGCGAACGGGUGAGUAAAGUAUCGGAACGUGCCCAGUCGUGGGGGAUAACGUAACGAAAGUUACGCUAAUACCGCAUACGAUCUAUGGAUGAAAGCGGGGGAUCGCAAGACCUCGCGCGAUUGGAGCGGCCGAUAUCAGAUUAGGUAGUUGGUGGGGUAAAGGCUCACCAAGCCGACGAUCUGUAGCUGGUCUGAGAGGACGACCAGCCACACUGGAACUGAGACACGGCCCAGACUCCUACGGGAGGCAGCAGUGGGGAAUUUUGGACAAUGGGCGCAAGCCUGAUCCAGCCAUGCCGCGUGCAGGAUGAAGGCCUUCGGGUUGUAAACUGCUUUUGUACGGAACGAAAAGGUUUGGCCUAAUACGCUGAACUCAUGACGGUACCGUAAGAAUAAGCACCGGCUAACUACGUGCCAGCAGCCGCAGUAA